GGGGGUGCUCCGGUUUCGACUGGUAUGGUUCGGGGUGCGGGACGCAGGUGGAGCGCCAACUCCUAAACUGGCAAAACAUUUAAUUGCCGACAACGACAAUUACGGCUACGCUUUAGCAGCGUAAUCGCGUGGCUCCGCCCCGCCGCUCUGAGGGACGGAAGCCGCGUCGCAAACAGAGCUGGCCAAACAAGGUUUUCGGACCUUGCGCGGUAAGACUUUUCCGAAAUAAGGACGCUCCGCCUGCCGCGAAGCCAAGGGCGCCCCGACAAAUUGAUACGCGGCUAAACCUGUAGAAUUCCGUAUUUCGCGUAUUAGGACGCGGGUUCGACUCCCGCCAUCUCCAGCG
This 346-nucleotide transfer-messenger RNA is filed under the name Spirochaetaceae bacterium. It matches the Rfam family "transfer-messenger RNA". Rfam says of the family: Bacterial tmRNA, also known as 10Sa RNA or SsrA, is named for its dual tRNA and mRNA-like properties. The record is from RNAcentral. Lineage: Bacteria; Pseudomonadati; Spirochaetota; Spirochaetia; Spirochaetales; Spirochaetaceae.